This 297-nucleotide long non-coding RNA is filed under the name Phaseolus vulgaris (common bean). Its description in RNAcentral is "long non-coding RNA (PVUL_LNC001453)". The record is from RNAcentral. Lineage: Eukaryota; Viridiplantae; Streptophyta; Magnoliopsida; Fabales; Fabaceae.
UCAAGUCCAGAUGGUCGCGUUGUAGGUGGUGGAGUUGCUGGUCUACUUGUAGCAGCAGGUCCUGUGCAGGUGAAAAUUCUUCACUCAACCCUCUAUGUUAUUCUCAAUGAUGCAUGUGAUCAUGUGCUUGGUUUGAGUUCUAAGGACUAAGGUUGAAUUCAAAAAAGUCUUCCAAGAUAUCAUAUUUUCUGUGUUGUUCUUGAAGACUUCAUCAAGAAGUUAGACAUUACAUUUUAUUUCUCAAGGUUCAAAUGAAGGAUCACUUGGAUUCCUUGAUGUUAUCAGGUGGUGGUGGGA